Long non-coding RNA from Hyaena hyaena (striped hyena), 695 nucleotides. RefSeq lists it as uncharacterized. The record is from RefSeq and is a predicted model, not a curated record. NCBI's taxonomy places the organism in Eukaryota, Metazoa, Chordata, Mammalia, Carnivora, Hyaenidae. The transcript is spliced from 4 exons.
CCAUCUCAAGUAUGAUCUUCACUCCCUCUGAGAAGUCCAGGCAAUAGACUUUUUACCAGUUGGAGACCAAAUCCAGAAUCCCACAGCCUCCAAAACAGUAAAGAAUAGCGGAUGCUACGUUUUUCCAGAAAUAGACAAUGGCGACAGAUUGUAUAGAACACGACACCCGAAUAUCUCUGUAAGGGUUGCGCAAAUGACGACAAAACAGGAGGACAAGGAGAAGAUAUCAACACAAAGGAUCACACCUCAACUGUCUAUCCAGUAAGGAAAAAAGAGAAUUUCAAUGACGCAGGUAAUUUUCUGCAGUCUAUGGAGAGAAGAACAGGCAUGAGGUGGCCCCUGGACUUGCCUGAAGUCAGCAAGAUAGCGAGGCGAUGAUGGAAAUCUGGCUUCUAAUGUCAGGUCUUUCCCCUGAACAGAGUCAAAGAAUAAAACUUUGUGUUGACCAGAAUUCAGUCCUGGUACCAGAACCUACUUGAACAUUAGAACAGAGGUAUAAAUAAGUCGUAUGGAAAGGACCUGGUGUCCAGUGAUCUCUGUUUUACGGCCACAGGCAUGUGCCACCACUGAAUGCUCCAGUCUAUCUUUCCCGUGGGGAAUCCAGGUCACCAGGAACCAGAAAGAAGAUUUGUUCAAGCACAUUCCAUUUGACAAGCACAAAUAAAUUUAUUCAGUUGCCUAUAUUUUAAUACUUU